This 1056-nucleotide ribosomal RNA is filed under the name uncultured Ehrlichia sp. RNAcentral describes it as "bacterial SSU rRNA". It matches the Rfam family "Bacterial small subunit ribosomal RNA", at positions 380 to 1467 of the family's 1533-position model. The record is from RNAcentral. Lineage: Bacteria; Pseudomonadati; Pseudomonadota; Alphaproteobacteria; Rickettsiales; Anaplasmataceae.
AGCCUGAUCCAGCUAUCGCAUGAAUGAUGAGUCUACGGAUGUAAGCUCUUUCAAUAGGGAGAUAAUGACGUACCUAUAGAAGAAGUCCGCAACUCCGUGCCAGCAGCCGCGUAAUACGGAGGGGCAAGCGUGUUCGGAAUUAUUGGGCGUAAAGGGCACGUAGGUGGACUAGUAAGUUAAAAGUGAAAUACCAAAGCUUAACUUUGGAGCUGCUUUUAAUACUGCUAGACUAGAGGUCGAAAGAGGAUAGCGGAAUUCCUAGUGUAGAGGUGAAAUUCGUAGAUAUUAGGAGGAACACCAGUGGCGAAGGCGGCUAUCUGGUUCGAUACUGACACUGAGGUGCGAAAGCGUGGAGAGCAAACAGGAUUAGAUACCCUGGUAGUCCACGCUGUAAACGAUGAGUGCUAAAUGUGAGGAUUUUAUCUUUGUAUUGUAGCUAACGCGUUAAGCACUCCGCCUGGGGACUACGGUCGCAAGACUAAAACUCAAAGGAAUUGACGGGGACCCGCACAAGCGGUGGAGCAUGUGGUUUAAUUCGAUGCUACGCGAAAAACCUUACCACUUUUUGACAUGAAGGUCGUAUCCCUCCUAACAGGGGGAGUCAGUUCGGCUGGACCUUACACAGGUGCUGCAUGGUUGUCGUCAGCUCGUGUCGUGAGAUGUUGGGUUAAGUCCCGCAACGAGCGCAACCCUCAUCCUUAGUUACCAACAGGUAAUGCUGGGCACUCUAAGGAAACUGCCAGUGAUAAACUGGAGGAAGGUGGGGAUGAUGUCAAAUCAGCACGGCCCUUAUAAGGUGGGCUACACACGUGCUACAAUGGCAACUACAAUAGGUUGCGAGACCGCAAGGUUUAGCUAAUCCAUAAAAGUUGUCUCAGUUCGGAUUGUUCUCUGCAACUCGAGAGCAUGAAGUCGGAAUCGCUAGUAAUCGUGGAUCAUCACGCCACGGUGAAUACGUUCUCGGGUCUUGUACACACUGCCCGUCACGCCAUGGGAAUUGGCUUAACUCGAAGCUGGUGUGCUAACCGCAAGGAAGCAGCCACUAACGAAGUCUUG